CCCAACUAUCCCUAUUAAUCAUUACAUCGAUCCUAGAAACCAACAAAAUAGAAUCGGAUGUCCUAUUUCAUUAUUCCAUGCUAAUGUAUUCAAGCGUAAGCCUGCUUUAAACACUCUAAUUUUUUCAAGGUAACAGUCCUAAUUCCCCAUAACAUCAAAUGAAUGACAUUAUGGUUCUUUAGAAGGUGAGAACCAAUAAGACCAGUACAUACCAAGGCAUGACCGAUCCCUUGAUCCCGAAGUUCAACUACGAGCUUUUUAACUGCAACAACUUUAAUAUACGCUAUUGGAGCUGGAAUUACCGCGGCUGCUGGCACCAGACUUGCCCUCCAA
Molecule: unclassified non-coding RNA, 333 nt
Filed under: uncultured Glomeraceae
Lineage: Eukaryota; Fungi; Glomeromycota; Glomeromycetes; Glomerales; Glomeraceae
Description: sequence contains 18S rRNA gene
Source: RNAcentral